Molecule: non-coding RNA, 1851 nt
Organism: Rattus norvegicus (Norway rat)
Lineage: Eukaryota; Metazoa; Chordata; Mammalia; Rodentia; Muridae
Source: RefSeq, a predicted model, not a curated record
GGGGUCUCGAGCCCCUUCAAGCUCUUCACAGGUCUAUUCCUUAAAGCCUGGUGAGGGGUUUGCUUUCGUUUUUCAGUUCCUAUAAUCUACAAAAGUAGAUUGUUCCCGUUUUUAUAUUCAAGCUUGUAUUUUCUCAAGGUACUUCCGUCUAACAAACUCUAAGCCAAACGUCAUAAUCCUUCUGUUCGACACGUAGCUGCCUGAGCUGGUGUUUUGUUUGUUUGUUUUUAUGGUGGGGCCACUGUAACUGCUUAUUGAUGGACAAAUUGGAAACAGACUCUUAGCCAUUUCUCCAAUCUCAAGUCACCGCCUUCGUGACUGGGCAUCAGUGCAGCUUUGUAGAGCAGAACGUUACUUUGUUCCAACGUUGCCUGAUUCUUCUUUGGUUUAUGAAAGGUUUGAUGUUACCAAAGAACACAAGAGAGGCUUCCUAAGGAUGGAAAUAACCAAUAAUUUUAACUAACUUGAAGGCUAUGAACCACAAGAAAGACUGGAAUGUCAAGAUACUUAUCAAGCAAUCGCUAAACUCCGUAUUGGAUGCUACCACAGAAUCUCAAGCAACUCAUUUUGUUCUACCAUUUUGUCUAAAAUCCCAACACUGAACUUGACUUAUAAGCUUUGCUGAAGGCUUUUUCUCUCAAGGCAUUUUCAACCCUCACCAAUUACACGCGAAUACAAGUGGAUUCUGUUGAAUAAAGGUACUGUAUACACCCAUCAUUUUCGACACGAUGCAGCUUUCCCCUUUACUUGGCAUCUUCCCAUUUUGAACACAUCCUCUAGGGACCUGUGACAGCUAAUAUCGUAUACUUGUUUUCUAUUUCUUUAGAGUUCUCCGAUUGAUAUCUCUCCACGUUGCUUUAAUUUAUCCUUUAAUCACUUCCAACAGAUUUUCAAUGCCUUCAAAGUCUGUUCCUUUCACUAAUCUCAUAUUGUACCCAAUCUUGUGGCUGCCAUCCUAACUAUAUGGUGAUAUUUCUAAUCUUGCCAUCUCAACGCUAAGUCUCUUGAACUAUAAUUUUCUUCUUAUUAUUAAAUCAUUCUCUCAAUUACUCAAUGUAGAGUCGAUACACAGGAAGUUGCAGUGAGGUCUGAAUGUCAUCAGAGGAAAAAAAAAAAACACACACACACACACAAAGGCAAACAUUUUCUUGUUUUCCAUAGCUACCGCUAACACAUUAUUUAUAAAUCAAAAAUGAUAAUGCAGGAUCACAAGCAUUUUUCUCAUACUUUAUGUAAUCUGAGAACUGAGAGGCAGCAGUGUAUUAGCAUUAGCAGAAAACACAUUGCUGUUAGUAUUUAGGAAGCUCGUAGAUGACAGAUAACAUGAAGAGCUCACAUUCGCUGCCAACCUCACCCCAGUGCACCCCGGAAGUUUGUCAUGGAUAGAUCUAGUAUUCUUUCUGUUUCUUUUUUUCUUUUUUUUUUCUUUUUUUUUUUUUUUUGGUUCUUUUUUUUGGAGCUGGGGACCGAACCCAGGGCCUUGCGCUUCCUAGGUAAGCGCUCUACCACUGAGCUAAAUCCCCAGCCCCUUCUUUCUGUUUCUAUUUCCAAUUGUUCAGGAAGCUCACUCAAGGUGUUUCACACAAUGGUUCAGAUCUGUCCUUUCCUUUCUAUUACCACUGCCACAAAACAGUCUCGAGGGUCCCUUGAUCUUUCAUCCGGAGAAUUACAGUCAACUUUUAUGUGAUUUAUUCUCCUCUAAAACUUUCCUCAAAUCAUGUAUCGAAUACAUUCUCUCUUAAUGAUGUUUUCUUCUAAACUAGAAUUUUGAUCAUCCAAAUUUGAAGGAAGAAUUUCCUAUUCCUACGAACGCCCCAAUGGAUAAAGUUUAAACUGUUUUCUAAAACUUAA